Molecule: ribosomal RNA, 457 nt
Filed under: uncultured bacterium
Lineage: Bacteria
Description: partial 16S ribosomal RNA
Rfam family: Bacterial small subunit ribosomal RNA
Source: RNAcentral
CCUACGGGAGGCUGCAGUGGGGAAUAUUGCACAAUGGGGGAAACCCUGAUGCAGCGACGCCGCGUGAGUGAAGAAGUAUUUCGGUAUGUAAAGCUCUAUCAGCAGGGAAGAAAUAAAGUCCUUCGGACUUUGGACGGUACCUGACUAAGAAGCCCCGGCUAACUACGUGCCAGCAGCCGCGGUAAUACGUAGGGGGCAAGCGUUAUCCGGAUUUACUGGGUGUAAAGGGAGCGUAGACGGCAGCUCAAGUCUGGAGUGAAAUCCCAUGGCUUAACCAUGGAACUGCUUUGGAAACUGUGCAGCUGGAGUGCGGGAGAGGUAAGCGGAAUUCCUAGUGUAGCGGUGAAAUGCGUAGAUAGUAGGAGGAACACGAGUGGCGAAGGCGGCUUACUGGACUGUAACUGACGUUGAGGCUCGAAAGCGUGGGGAGCAAACAGGAUUAGAUACCCUAGUAGUC